Molecule: ribosomal RNA, 305 nt
Filed under: uncultured bacterium
Lineage: Bacteria
Description: bacterial SSU rRNA
Rfam family: Bacterial small subunit ribosomal RNA
Source: RNAcentral
CCUACGGGGGGCAGCAGUGGGGAAUAUUGCGCAAUGGGGGAAACCCUGACGCAGCAACGCCGCGUGCGGGAUGAAGGCUUUCGGGUUGUAAACCGCUUUCAGCAGGGAAGAUAGUGACGGUACCUGCAGAAGAAGCCCCGGCUAAAUACGUGCCAGCAGCCGCGGUAAUACGUAUGGGGCGAGCGUUAUCCGGAUUCAUUGGGCGUAAAGCGCGCGCAGGCGGGCUGCUAAGCGGGACCUCUAAUCUCGGGGCUCAACCCCGAGCCGGGUUCCGAACUGGCAGCCUCGGGUUCGGUAGGGGUAGG